GUCCACGCCGUAAACGAUGAGUACUAGCUGUCGGAGGUUACCCCCUUCGGUGGCGCAGCUAACGCAUUAAGUACUCCGCCUGGGAAGUACGCUCGCAAAGAGUGAAACUCAAAAGGAAUUGACGGGGACCCGCACAAGUAGCGGAGCAUGUGGUUUAAAUUCGAAAGCAAACGCGAAAGAACCUUACCUAAAGCUUGACAUCCUUCUGACCUCUCCCUAAAUCGGAGAUUUCCCUUCGGGGACAGAAGUGACAGGUGGUGCAUGGUUGUCGU
RNAcentral lists this ribosomal RNA (272 nucleotides) under uncultured bacterium. RNAcentral describes it as "partial 16S ribosomal RNA". It matches the Rfam family "Bacterial small subunit ribosomal RNA", at positions 793 to 1055 of the family's 1533-position model. The record is from RNAcentral.